RNAcentral lists this ribosomal RNA (407 nucleotides) under uncultured bacterium. RNAcentral's name for it is "partial 16S ribosomal RNA". It matches the Rfam family "Bacterial small subunit ribosomal RNA", at positions 28 to 526 of the family's 1533-position model. The record is from RNAcentral.
GAUGAACGCUGGCGGCGUGCCUAAUACAUGCAAGUAGAACGCAGUUGCGGACGGGUGAGUAACGCGUAGGUAACUGCCUCAUAGCGGGGGCUAACUAUUGGAAACGAUAGCUAAUACCGCAUACUGUGAGAUGGACCUGCGUUGUAUUAGGUAGUUGGUGGGGUAAAGGCGCACCAAGGCGACGACACAUAGCCGACCUGUGAGGGUGAUCGGCCACACUCGGACUGAGACACGGCCCAGACGCCUUCGGCAGGGAGCAGGAGGGAAUCUGCGGCAAUGGGCGGAAGUCUGACCGAGCAACGCCGGGUUAGUGAAGAAGGCUGUCGGAUCGUAAAGCUCUGUUGUACGGGAAGCGGUAACUACCCAGAAAGGGACGGCUAACUACGUGCCAGCAGCCGCGGUAAUUC